AGGCCUUCGGGUCGUAAAGCUCUGUUGUUAGGGAAGAACAAGUACCAGAGUAACUGCUGGUACCUUGACGGUACCUAACCAGAAAGCCACGGCUAACUACGUGCCAGCAGCCGCGGUAAUACGUAGGUGGCAAGCGUUGUCCGGAAUUAUUGGGCGUAAAGCGCGCGCAGGCGGUUCCUUAAGUCUGAUGUGAAAGCCCACGGCUCAACCGUGGAGGGUCAUUGGAAACUGGGGAACUUGGGUGCAGAAGAGGAAAGCGGAAUUCCACGUGUAGCGGUGAAAUGCGUAGAGAUGUGGAGGAACACCAGUGGCGAAGGCGACUCUCUGGUCUGUAACUGACGCUGAGGCGCGAAAGCGUGGGGAGCGAACAGGAUUAGAUACCCUGGUAGUCCACGCCGUAAACGAUGAGUGCUAAGUGUUGGAGGGUUUCCGCCCUUCAGUGCUGCAGCUAACGCAUUAAGCACUCCGCCUGGGGAGUACGGUCGCAAGACUGAAACUCAAAGGAAUUGACGGGGGCCCGCACAAGCGGUGGAGCAUGUGGUUUAAUUCGAAGCAACGCGAAGAACCUUACCAGCUCUUGACAUCCUCUGACAACCCUAGAGAUAGGGCUUUCCCCUUCGGGGGACAGAGUGACAGGUGGUGCAUGGUUGUCGUCAGCUCGUGUCGUGAGAUGUUMSGUUAAGUCCCGCAACGAGCGCAACCCUUGAUCUUAGUUGCCAU
This 720-nucleotide ribosomal RNA is filed under the name uncultured bacterium. Its description in RNAcentral is "bacterial SSU rRNA". It matches the Rfam family "Bacterial small subunit ribosomal RNA", at positions 412 to 1121 of the family's 1533-position model. The record is from RNAcentral.